RNA transcript from Camellia sinensis, 1581 nucleotides. It is a transcript of the gene named mitochondrial phosphate carrier protein 1, mitochondrial, with no coding region annotated. The record is from RefSeq and is a predicted model, not a curated record. Lineage: Eukaryota; Viridiplantae; Streptophyta; Magnoliopsida; Ericales; Theaceae.
AACUGUUGAGUCAGACGCGCCGAAUAUAUUCAGAAGAAGAAGAAGAAAGAAAAAUGGGAAUGGAAUUGCGUAGCCUCAAAGCCUCCUGCACCUCCUAUAAGAACACCACCCCAAAAAAAAAAACCAGGAUGCAGUCUUAUUAUUAUGAGAAAUUUGUGUAGGUGGGUUUGAAUUUAACAUCUCUUCUGAAAGGUGCGAAUAUCAGUUUAUAAUAUAUACAGACUGAAAUGUUGGGUUUGGAAAACAAAACAAAAAAAUGAAAGGAGGGGUGGUUGAAGGAACAGGAAGGGUGUGUGAGGAGUUCUCAGCUGGGUAUUAUGGGCUUUGCACUGUCGGGGGUAUGUUCAGUGCUGGUACUUCCCAUCUCGCCACCACUCCCUUUGAUGUUCUCAAAGUCAAUAUGCAGGUGAACCCAGUGAAGUACCACGGCAUCUCAUCAGGUUUGAGUACUCUGUGGAAGGAACAAGGCCCUUCUGGCCUUUGGAGAGGUUGGUCUGGCAAAUUCUGUGGAUAUGGUGUUCAAGGCGGAUGCAAAUUUGGUCUCUAUGAAUACUUUAAGAAGCUAUACUCCAAUGUGUUGGUAGAUCAUAACAAGAGUGUCAUAUUCUUUGCCAGCAGUGCAUCUGCUCAAGUAUUUGCUGAUGUGGCUCUCUGUCCAUUUGAAGCAGUCAAAGUCCGUGUUCAAACACAGCCCAAUUUUGCGAAGGGCUUGCUUGAUGGGUUUCCAAAAUUAUAUGCAUCUGAAGGGCUUUCUGGCUUUUAUAGGGGACUUAUUCCACUUUGGGGUCGUAAUAUCCCAUUCUCUAUGAUAAUGUUUUCAACAUUUGAGCACUCAGUGGGCUUCAUAUAUCGCAAUGUUACCCAAAGAAGAAAGGAAGAUUGCUCGAGAGCCCAGCAACUUGGUGUGACAUGUUUAGCAGGCUAUGCAGCUGGGGCUGUUGGUACCAUUAUCUCUAACCCUGCUGAUAAUGUUGUUUCCUCUCUUUACAACAAAAAGGCCGACACUGUGCUUCAGUUUGAUUUUUGUCUUUCAGGCUGUGAAGAACAUUGGGUUUGUCAAUUUGUUUACUAGAAGUCUUCCUAUUCGAAUCACACUUGUGGGGCCUGUUGUAACUAUGCAAUGGUUUUUCUAUGACACCAUUAAAGUUCUAAGUGGAUUGCCUACCAGUGGAGGGUAUAGCAUGGAUCUGGAAAAAGCUAUCUGAUCAAAGUACUGGAAUGAAAUACAAUAAUUCAAUCAUUUGCGAGCAUGGGAAAUCCAUCAUCCCUGCAUCAAAUAAUGGCAAGUGAUUGUAUAUUUUGGUAACACAAAGGGAAAUUGAUGGCUUAUCUACUUAGUAACAUCUAUCUCCCUUUAUUUUUUGUUCUGCAGUUCAUAUCUUGUUACAAGAUCUACCUCCCUUUAUUUUUGCUCCUUUGUAAAGUCUAGUUUAGCUGUUGUCUGCGUGAAUUUGCAGUCCAGCUACAUAGAUAUACUGCAAAUUGAUUUUAGUGACUAUAUAUGCAGUGAUUUUGUGUAAGAGAAACUAUAAACAACACAUUUUUCAUGGAAAUAUGUUAGUAUUCUCUAGUUAUUGAUUA